Molecule: non-coding RNA, 31 nt
Filed under: Mus musculus (house mouse)
Lineage: Eukaryota; Metazoa; Chordata; Mammalia; Rodentia; Muridae
Source: RNAcentral
UCCCAGCCAAACAACUAUCACUCUCCAUGUC